This 757-nucleotide ribosomal RNA is filed under the name uncultured Neisseria sp. Its description in RNAcentral is "bacterial SSU rRNA". It matches the Rfam family "Bacterial small subunit ribosomal RNA", at positions 34 to 781 of the family's 1533-position model. Lineage: Bacteria; Pseudomonadati; Pseudomonadota; Betaproteobacteria; Neisseriales; Neisseriaceae. The record is from RNAcentral.
CGCUGGCGGCAUGCUUACACAUGCAAGUCGGACGGCAGCACAGAGAAGCUUGCUUCUUGGGUGGCGAGUGGCGAACGGGUGAGUAACAUAUCGGAACGUACCGAGCAGUGGGGGAUAACUAGUCGAAAGAUUAGCUAAUACCGCAUAUAUUCUGAGGAAGAAAGCAGGGGACCAUUUGGCCUUGCGCUGUUUGAGCGGCCGAUAUCUGAUUAGCUAGUUGGUGGGGUAAAGGCCUACCAAGGCGACGAUCAGUAGCGGGUCUGAGAGGAUGAUCCGCCACACUGGGACUGAGACACGGCCCAGACUCCUACGGGAGGUAGCAGUGGGGAAUUUUGGACAAUGGGCGCAAGCCUGAUCCAGCCAUGCCGCGUGUCUGAAGAAGGCCUUCGGGUUGUAAAGGACUUUUGUCAGGGAAGAAAAGGGCGGGGUUAAUACCCCUGUCUGAUGACGAUACCUGAAGAAUAAGCACCGGCUAACUACGUGCCAGCAGCCGCGGUAAUACGUAGGGUGCGAGCGUUAAUCGGAAUUACUGGGCGUAAAGCGGGCGCAGACGGUUACUUAAGCAGGAUGUGAAAUCCCCGGGCUCAACCUGGGAACUGCGUUCUGAACUGGGUGACUAGAGUGUGUCAGAGGGAGGUAGAAUUCCACGUGUAGCAGUGAAAUGCGUAGAGAUGUGGAGGAAUACCGAUGGCGAAGGCAGCCUCCUGGGAUAACACUGACGUUCAUGCCCGAAAGCGUGGGUAGCAAACAGGAUUAG